CUUAAAGGCACACUCCAGGCAUCCAGACCUCUUCUGUCCAUUGGAGUGGUCUGGGUGCCAAUUCCCAUCACCCUUAAUCCUGCAAGUGUAAUUACUGCAGUUAUUAUAAACUGCAAUAUUUACCUUGCAGGGUUAAUUCCUCUGACAGACAGCCACUAGAGGGACUUCCGUGUUCUUUAAACACGAAAAGUAUUUUAAACGACGCUGGACGUCCUCAUAAUGCUUUCCUAUGGGAAGGUCUAAUGUGCGCUCACGGCCAUUGCCAAGCAUGCGCAUUGGGUCUCCCCCACCGGCUGACGUCGGUGGGGAGGAGCGUGGGG
Molecule: non-coding RNA, 320 nt
Organism: Pelobates cultripes (western spadefoot toad)
Lineage: Eukaryota; Metazoa; Chordata; Amphibia; Anura; Pelobatidae
Source: the annotation of a GenBank genome assembly